This 174-nucleotide unclassified non-coding RNA is filed under the name uncultured fungus. Its description in RNAcentral is "sequence contains ITS2". Lineage: Eukaryota; Fungi. The record is from RNAcentral.
AACUCUCAACCCCUGAUUCAUCAGGGCUUGGACCGUGGCCGCACUUGGCCGGCGUCUGACGUCGGCCCGGCCGAAAAACAUGCGGAGCGCAUCUGCACUCUGCAGCGACUGAGCGUUGUAGACCCCUCGCUUGGCUGCUGCUGUGAGCUGCGGGCUCCCCAGAUCUUAAUUCAU